This 1304-nucleotide small RNA is filed under the name Pan troglodytes (chimpanzee). RNAcentral describes it as "retained intron". The record is from RNAcentral. Lineage: Eukaryota; Metazoa; Chordata; Mammalia; Primates; Hominidae.
ACAGUGCAGCCUCCAGCCAGAAGGAUGGGGUGGCUCCCACUCCUGCUGCUUCUGACUCAAUGCUUAGGGGCCCCUGGGCAGCGCUCGCCAUUGAAUGACUUCCAGGUGCUCCGGGGCACAGAGCUACAGCACCUGCUACAUGCGGUGGUGCCCGGGCCUUGGCAGGAGGAUGUGGCAGAUGCUGAAGAGUGUGCUGGUCGCUGUGGGCCCUUAAUGGACUGCCGGGCCUUCCACUACAACGUGAGCAGCCAUGGUUGCCAACUGCUGCCAUGGACUCAACACUCGCCCCACACGAGGCUGCGGCGUUCUGGGCGCUGUGACCUCUUCCAGAAGAAAGGUACACGCCCACGCUCCGGAAUGGCCUGGAAGAGAACUUCUGCCGUAACCCUGAUGGCGACCCCGGAGGUCCUUGGUGCUACACAACAGACCCUGCCGUGCGCUUCCAGAGCUGCGGCAUCAAAUCCUGCCGGGAGGCCGCGUGUGUCUGGUGCAAUGGCGAGGAAUACCGCGGCGCGGUAGACCGCACGGAGUCAGGGCGCGAGUGCCAGCGCUGGGAUCUUCAGCACCCGCACCAGCACCCCUUCGAGCCGGGUUCCUCGACCAAGGUCUGGACGACAACUAUUGCCGGAAUCCUGACGGCUCCGAGCGGCCAUGGUGCUACACUACGGAUCCGCAGAUCGAGCGAGAGUUCUGUGACCUCCCCCGCUGCGGGUCCGAGGCACAGCCCCGCCAAGAGGCCACAACUGUCAGCUGCUUCCGCGGGAAGGGUGAGGGCUACCGGGGCACAGCCAAUACCACCACCGCGGGCGUACCUUGCCAGCGUUGGGACGCGCAAAUCCCGCAUCAGCACCGAUUUACGCCAGAAAAAUACGCGUGCAAGUGAGGUGGGGGGGGCGGGCGUUGGGACGUGCUGCUGCGGGUGAGACGGGAGGAGGGUAGUCACGGGCUCAGGGCUGGAGGCUGGCGGGCUAGGGCUGAGUGGAGCGCCUGCUUAGAGACCUUCGGGAGAACUUCUGCCGGAACCCCGACGGCUCAGAGGCGCCCUGGUGCUUCACACUGCGGCCCGGCAUGCGCGUGGCCUUUUGCUACCAGAUCCGGCGUUGUACAGACGACGUGCGGCCCCAGGGUGAGGCCCAAGCUUGGGGGAUACAGAGCCGGGGCUGGAAGCCUGGAACCGGAGGGCCGGGGCGAGGUCUCGGCCUGAUGGCUGCCCGCACCCGCCACAGACUGCUACCACGGCGCAGGGGAGCAGUACCGCGGCACGGUCAGCAAGACCCGCAAGGGUGUCCAGUGCCAGCGCUGGU